This is a non-coding RNA of Myotis daubentonii (Daubenton's bat), 427 nucleotides long. The record is from the annotation of a RefSeq genome assembly. NCBI's taxonomy places the organism in Eukaryota, Metazoa, Chordata, Mammalia, Chiroptera, Vespertilionidae.
ACCCAAGUGCCUGAGACAGGACCCCAGCGGCUCCACCAUGGACUUGGUGCCAAGCUGCGUUUUCCUCCUAAUCAUUUCUCAAGGUGUCCAGUGUGAGGAGCAGCUGGUGGAGUCUGGGGGAGGCCUGGUGCAGCCUGGGGGGUCUCUGAAACUCUCCUGUGCAGCCUCUGAAUUCACCUUCAGUAGCUACUGGAUGAGCUGGGUCCGCCAGGCUCCAGGGAAGGGGCUAGAGUGGGUCGCACUCAUUAGUACUAGUGGUAGUACCAUAUACUACGCUGCCUCUGUGAAGGGCCGCUUCACCAUCUCCAGGGAAAAUGACAAGAACAUGCUGUUUCUGCAAAUGAGCAGCCUGAGAGCCGAGGCCACGGCCUUGUAUUACUGUGCGAGAGACACAGUGAGGGGAAGUCAGUGUGAGCCCAGACACUAA